GACGAACGCUGGCGGCGUGCCUAAUACAUGCAAGUCGAACGCUGAAGAGAGGAGCUUCCUCUUCUUGGAUGAGUUGCGAACGGGUGAGUAACGCGUAGGUAACCUGCCUUGUAGCGGGGGAUAACUAUUGGAAACGAUAGCUAAUACCGCAUAACAAUGGAUGACACAUGUCAUUUAUUUGAAAGGGGCAAUUGCUCCACUACAAGAUGGACCUGCGUUGUAUUAGCUAGUAGGUGAGGUAAUGGCUCACCUAGGCGACGAUACAUAGCCGACCUGAGAAGGUGAUCGGCCACACUGGGACUGAGACACGGCCCAGACUCCUACGGGAGGCAGCAGUAGGGAAUCUUCGGCAAUGGGGGCAACCCUGACCGAGCAACGCCGCGUGAGUGAAGAAGGUUUUCGGAUCGUAAAGCUCUGUUGUAAGUCAAGAACGGGUGUGAGAGUGGAAAGUUCACACUGUGACGGUAGCUUACCAGAAAGGGACGGCUAACUACGUG
This 497-nucleotide ribosomal RNA is filed under the name uncultured bacterium. Its description in RNAcentral is "partial 16S ribosomal RNA". It matches the Rfam family "Bacterial small subunit ribosomal RNA", at positions 28 to 507 of the family's 1533-position model. The record is from RNAcentral.